This 459-nucleotide ribosomal RNA is filed under the name uncultured Treponema sp. RNAcentral describes it as "partial 16S ribosomal RNA". It matches the Rfam family "Bacterial small subunit ribosomal RNA", at positions 341 to 792 of the family's 1533-position model. Lineage: Bacteria; Pseudomonadati; Spirochaetota; Spirochaetia; Treponematales; Treponemataceae. The record is from RNAcentral.
ACGGAAGGCAGCAGCUAAGAAUAUUCCGCAAUGGACGAAAGUCUGACGGAGCGACGCCGCGUGGAUGAUGAAGGUCGAAAGAUUGUAAAAUCCUUUUAGGAGUGAAGAAUAAGAGGUGCAGGGAAUGGCAUCACGGUGACGGUAGCUCCUGAAUAAGCAACGGCUAAUUACGUGCCAGCAGCCGCGGUAACACGUAAGUUGCGAGCGUUGUUCGGAAUUAUUGGGCGUAAAGGGCAUGUAGGCGGUUAUGCAAGUCUGGUGUGAAAGGCAGGAGCUCAACUCCUGGACUGCGCCGGAAACUGCAGAACUAGAGUGACUGAGGAGCAAUCAGAAUUCCAGGUGUAGGGGUGAAAUCUGUAGAUAUCUGGAAGAAUACCAAUGGCGAAGGCAGGUUGCUAGCAGAUGACUGACGCUGAGGUGCGAAGGUGCGGGGAGCAAACAGGAUUAGAUACCCUGGUA